This 253-nucleotide unclassified non-coding RNA is filed under the name plant metagenome. RNAcentral's name for it is "partial contains small subunit ribosomal RNA, internal transcribed spacer 1, and 5.8S ribosomal RNA". The stretch from base 205 to 253 matches the Rfam family "5.8S ribosomal RNA", at positions 1 to 49 of the family's 154-position model. The record is from RNAcentral.
UUUCCGUAGGUGAACCUGCGGAAGGAUCAUUAUUGGAUUUUGAAACUUCAGGCUGCUGCUGGCUCUCCUCGGAGGGCAUGUGCACGCUUGUUGUCCAUUAUUUCUCCCACUGUGCACAAAUUGUAGACCUUUCAGUAGGCCUAUGUUGUUUUUCACAAUCUCUGAAUGUAAUUGAAUGGUUUUGAAUCUUGGGAAAUACAAUACAACUUUCAGCAACGGAUCUCUUGGCUCUCGUAUCGAUGAAGAACGCAGC